GGCAGCCGCCGCCGUCGCCGCCGCAGCGAAGAGGCCAUGUUGUGUGGUGUGUGGGGCGGGGGGAGGAGGAGGAGGGAGUAAAGCCGAGAGAGGAGACGGGAGAGACACCACACACACGGCACAAGAUGGCCGGAGAGGCAGCAGCACCCAGAGCUGUCAGACGUUUUGCCGCGGCCAAGGUGCCCGCUGGCUGGCAGGGAGCUGUAUUCGGGCGGCCCGGAAGCCCGCAGGAACUGGGUGGCCGUGGCUGAGGCGAGGCGGGCCUCGCACGGGUGCCGGAGCUCGUGGCCGAGAAGUCCAGGGCUGCCCGGCCCACGACGCCGAAAGCUGGGCUACGGCAGCGGCCACGGAGGUGCGCCGGGUCCCGGCCGCCUAGACCGAGCGUGGGCGGGAGGCUCGGGCGGGAGGUCAGUCCCGGUAUCGAAGAUGGAGACCAGAAGGUGCCAGUGGCCGAGUUAUACCCGGUUACUUACAGAGUUUAAAAUUAAUUUGCUUAUGGUUUGAACAAAUACAUCUUUUAUCCCAGGUAUGUCAUUUUGAAGACUGACAUUGUACUUUUAUCCUUGAGGAUUAAGGAGAUCUUUGGGAAAGUCUGUAUUUUAUCUAGUAAAAGUAUGACUCCCCAGAUAGAACAAUCUAAAGGGCCCAUACAACAUAGUAAUCAUUGGUGGAAACAUUUACACCCAGUCAGCUUGAAGAGUCUCAAAUGGACCUUACCACUGAGAAAUCAAGAUGGCAGUCCACUAUGGGGACAUGAGGAAAAUGGAUUAAUACAAGAGUGCUGUGAUAAUACACAACCAAGAAAGGGUUCUUUUAACAUGGAUUCCAUGAAAUGAAUGAAUGAAGAUAUAGGUUUCUUACCCAACACAAAUGGACAGUGGAUUUUACUUUCAAAAAACUUUUGUAUCAUUAAAACCAGUGCAUUUUUGACCUUGGAGAAGACAGCACGGUAGUUUGUAUGCUUGGAAUUUUUUGCCUUUUGAUUUGUUUUGAGCAUGACCUCAUGGAAUGUUAUCUUUAAUAAAAUUUCUAACACUUAAAAAUU
Long non-coding RNA from Marmota monax (woodchuck), 1045 nucleotides. RefSeq lists it as uncharacterized. NCBI's taxonomy places the organism in Eukaryota, Metazoa, Chordata, Mammalia, Rodentia, Sciuridae. The transcript has 5 exons. The record is from RefSeq and is a predicted model, not a curated record.